RNAcentral lists this small RNA (120 nucleotides) under Marmota monax (woodchuck). The record is from RNAcentral. Lineage: Eukaryota; Metazoa; Chordata; Mammalia; Rodentia; Sciuridae.
GCUGGGCGCAGUGCGCAGGCCUGUAAUCCCAGCAGUUCAGGAGGCUGAGGCAGGAGGAUCGCGAGUUCAAAGCCAGCCUCAGCAACAGCGAGGCACUGACUCAGUGAGAUCCUGUCUCUA